RNAcentral lists this ribosomal RNA (415 nucleotides) under uncultured bacterium. Its description in RNAcentral is "bacterial SSU rRNA". It matches the Rfam family "Bacterial small subunit ribosomal RNA", at positions 271 to 684 of the family's 1533-position model. The record is from RNAcentral.
AGGCGACGAUCAGUAAGCUGGUCUGACGAGGACGAUCAGCCACACUGGGACUGAGACACGGCCCAGACAUCCUACGGGACGGCAGCAGUGGGGAAUUUUCCGCAAUGGGCGAAAGCCUGACGAGAGCAAUACCCGCGUGAGGGAGGAAGGCUCUUGGGUCGUAAACCUCUUUUCUCAAGGGAAGACACACAAUGACGGUACCUGAGGAAUAAGCAUCGGCUAACUCCGUAGCCAGCAGCCCGCGGUAAUACGGAGGAUGCAAGCGUUAUCCGGAAUGAUUGGGACGUAAAGCCGUCCGCAGGUGGCAAUGUAAGUCUGCUGUUAAAGAGUCUAGCUCAAACUAGCAUACAAGCAGUGGAAACUACAUAGCUAGAGUACGUUCGGGGCAGAGAGGAACUUCCUGGUGUAGCGGUGA